This 865-nucleotide long non-coding RNA is filed under the name Gallus gallus (chicken). RNAcentral describes it as "lncRNA (ENSGALG00010000763.1)". Lineage: Eukaryota; Metazoa; Chordata; Aves; Galliformes; Phasianidae. The record is from RNAcentral.
ACCCCUAUAGGAACACAGGGAUCUGCCCCCCCCCCCCCCCCAAUAGGAUCACAGCAAUGGGGACCCCUAUAGGGACCCCUAUAAGGAUAUGGGGUUGGGACCCCCCCUUAAAGCCCCCAUAGGGAGAUGGAGGUGUGGACCCCCCCCCAUAAUUGGAUCCCUAUAGGAACACAGGGAUCUGACCCCCCCCAAUAGGAUCACAGGAAUGGGGACCCCCUUAAAGACCCCAUAAGGAUAUGGGGUUGGGACCCCCCCUUAUAAAGCCCCAUAGGGAUAUGAGUGUGUGGACCCCCCCUUUAGAGACCCCCAUUGGGACCCCCCCCAUAAUUUCACCCCUAUAGGAACUCAGGGAUCUGACCCCCCCCCCAAUAGGGUCAUAUGAAUGGGGCCCCCCUAUAGGGACCCCUAUAAGGAUAUGGGGUUGGGACCCCCCCUUAAAGCCCCCAUAGGGAGAUGGAGGUGUGGACCCCCCCCCAUAAUUGGACCCCUAUAGGGACCCCAUUGAGUCCCACCCCCCCCUUACAAUCCCAUAUAGAGAUAUGGGGUUGCAGCCCCCCCCAUAGGGACCCCCAUAGGGCCGUGGGGGGGGGUGAGGACCCCCCCCAAAUGGGGUCUGUGGGGUGGGGGCUCACAGCUCUGCUUUCUCUUUGUAGGGUCUGCCAAUGGACGGCAACGAAGACGAGAGAACCGGAGCGGAACCGGAGCGGAACGGGAGCAGAACCGGACCGGGAGCUGAACCGGAUCGGGAACAGAACCGGAUCGGGUCAGGAGCUGAACCGGAUUGGGAGCAGAACCGGAUUGGAUCGGGAGCAGAACCGGAUUGGGAGCUGAACCGGAGUGGAGUGGGAGCUGAACCCGACACGGA